GUAGCCAUUAACUCUCCAUGGACCGUGACUUCCAUUUCCCAUCAGCUUUGAAUUAUUCAGUCUGGGACUGAACUGAACUGAAAGGACUUGCAUCUGAGACAGGCUGAUGGGGACGCAAACAGAGAUGAUGGGUUUACCCAGAUGGGCGAGGAAUUGUGGACCAGUCCUGCAAGGAAACUCCAGUGACCAGACUGAUUCAGCGGAGGUACAACCAGCAUUACUUUCAGGGUCGGUGACUUAUCACAACCUUGGAGCCGGCUUAACUCCAGAAAAAGUGCGAAUGGGCAGAGCACCAAGGUGUCUGCCCCAUGAAUGAGGCUGGAUGAGCAAAGGUGUCGUCACGCGAACCAGACUGAGCAGGAGAAGGGCUCUGACCAUGGCAGGACCUCGGAAGCUGCAGCCUCCUCCCUCUGCGGUGCGGGCUGUCAGCACUGCACCAAAGCCACGCUGCCUGUGGAUUUCCUGUAUUCUUCAUCUGCUUUUGAAAGCCCGUCAAAAGCUACCAUAGGUAAAAGAACUGCGGGAAGCCACAAUUUGGGAAGUUUUCAGAGCCGCUUGCAGCUCUUUUUGCCCGCUGCCAUGCCUGACAACUUGAACUGGUGGAAUUAUUCAUUGGAAAUAAAGCAUUUGAGGAAUUUAGCUAUUGAUUGUUAUGAAUGAUUUAUGUAUUAUUUAUACUGCUGUAGCCUCUAAUGGCUCCUCACGGGUCGGGGCUGUGCCGCGUUAAGCUGUGCACAUAACUGCACUAACGCAGCAUCUUCAGUCAAGGCCAGCAAAACGGGCAGGGGCGGUGGGGACGGGGAGCAUGGGACAGGUGAAGCAAUCUUGGCUGGGGUGGCGAGUGGCUGUCACAGCACAACCUGCCCUGCUGUUAGCAAGCGAUUUGUAGGCGUCUCGUCAUAGGUGAAUUGUAAUGAGAUAUUUGGAAGAGAACAACAGCCUUUUGCAUUCCUCCCAUGGGCAGCGCGGUAACGUGCCAAAACAGAAGGAGAAAGCUUGCUGGAAAAUGUAACUGAUGGGCAGCAAAAGCUGGCAGUAUCGAGAGAGCAGAAGGUGGGUUUGAUAUGUUUUACCCUGUCUGCAGGCAGGUUCCCUUUGUUGAGCUGCCUGUCUCUCGUGCUGGCCCGUUAAGUGCCGAAGUCCAUCUGCACUCCCUCACACGUGUUUUAGCCUAGAGGCUGGCUUGCAAAAUCAGGCUGAUGUAUUUUAACAGCCGGUUGUUCAGUCUGCAG
Molecule: long non-coding RNA, 1232 nt
Filed under: Anas platyrhynchos platyrhynchos (common mallard)
Lineage: Eukaryota; Metazoa; Chordata; Aves; Anseriformes; Anatidae
Description: lncRNA (ENSAPLG00000021835.1)
Source: RNAcentral